AGGCUCUAAGAAAAGUCACUGAAAAUGUCAGCCCAGCCAACAGAGAAAGGCUCGGAGAGCAGCUAAGACAUGGCAUAUACAUUUUCAUCUAUUCAAUCUGACCCUGGGCCCACUGCCAUAAUCUUUUUUAAGGGAUGAGGUAUUAGAGCUGGACUGAACUGAGGCCCAGCUCCAAGAGAAGUUGCCAACAGCAGUCAUUGGGAACUUUUACAAGCUAUUGUAGUAAAAGGUUUAAGGGGAGGCUAUGAUGCAAGGAACUGAAGAGUGAAGAGAAAAAGAGUUGUGAGAAGGAAGGGAUUUGAAGAGAUUGGGUGUUCACUGGAGGAAGAUGUAUAGCACCCGAAAUGGAGAACCAAGAAAGAGGGAAUACCUAACGGAGCAAUGGUCUCACAUGCAGGAUGCAGUCUCCAGGAAUUAUCCUUAAAGGGAGUUGCUAUUUCUUUUUUCAAACCAAUAGAGAAGGCGGUGUAAAAGGACAAAAUAUAAAUAAACUUGGAAUUAAAUAGAAAAGGAAGUUAAGAGCACUGCUACCUAAUAAACACAAAAUAGCUACAAUUGAGGAUCGACUGUGUUCUAAGCUCUUUGAACACAUCAU
This 595-nucleotide long non-coding RNA is filed under the name Homo sapiens (human). RNAcentral's name for it is "HSALNT0032111". The record is from RNAcentral. Lineage: Eukaryota; Metazoa; Chordata; Mammalia; Primates; Hominidae.